UUAAUAGCGGCGUUGUUUGACGUUAGCGACAGAAGAAAGCACCGGCUAACUCCGUGCCAGCAGCCGCGGUAAUACGGAGGGUGCGAGCGUUAAUCGGAAUUACUGGGCGUAAAGACGCAUGCAGGUGGUUUGUUAAGUUCAGAUGUGAAAGACCCGGGGCGUCAACCUACCGGAAGUUGCAUUUGUAAACUAGGCAGACUAGAGUACUGUAGAGGGGGGUAGGAAUUUCUAGGUGUAGCGGUGAAAUAGCGUAGAGAUCUGAAGGAAUACCGGUGGCGAAGGCGGCCCCCUCGGACAGAUACUGACACUCAGAUGCGAAAGCGUGGGGAGCAAACAGGAUUAGAUACCCUGGUAG
Molecule: ribosomal RNA, 355 nt
Filed under: uncultured bacterium
Lineage: Bacteria
Description: bacterial SSU rRNA
Rfam family: Bacterial small subunit ribosomal RNA
Source: RNAcentral